GUUGGAAAACUGAGAUGGAAACUUAGCUUCAACAUGGCUUGCAGUGCCAUGUGUUGCACCAAGCAAAACUCUGCCUUGAUUUGUGGGAUGACCUAGCCUAACUGGUUCAUUUAGUUGGCUGGCAAAACCAGAAGAAGUGACAGGAUACAUGUGGCCAAAAGAAAUAAAAGCAUUAAGUACUGAACUUUGUAUUGUAAGAAAUAUUAGUUUUUCUUUUCUGAACAACAGUAAAGGUAAAUUCAGGUAAAAAGGUGGAUAUUGCACAUGAUUUCAUAAAUCUGACAUCAAGGUUAUGUUAAGCAACACCUGAUAUUUCAGAAUAUAAGUCUCCAGAUUAAGCACUAUCCUUCCACUAUGACUUUUGCCAAUCAAAGUGUGGUACCUCUUUUUCUCACUGAAUAACAACUUACUUUCCUAUUCACAGAAACUUAUGACAUGGUAAAAACCAUUAACAUCAUCCUUAGUAACUAAAUCAUGUUACUGGUGUGUAUAUAUUUUUUUAUCAAGUAAUCCUACAUAAUAGGCCAUUAGAAAGAUGAACCAUUUAACAAGAGUCAAAUCAGACAUUUUAUGAGAUUCAAAAAUAGCAUAUUUUGGAAUAGAACAUUGAAUAAGAGUCUACUCUUUGUUGGAACUACAACCACCAACCCACCAUCUGCACUUCCAUUUAUGUGUAUAUAGUCAAGCAUUCUGAUGCUAUACAUUAAUUAGGGGUAGCAGCUAGUACGCCUUUUUGGGUGCCUGUGUAAACCGACCCAUUUAAACUGGAUAUAGAAGACCUUUAAUCAGGUUUAGGAUAUGUCCAGAAAAAAAAAAAUAGGCACCUGAGUCAUGUUUGAGUUCAUUUACCUAGAUAAUUAAUUGGGUUGGAUUUCGGUUCUGAAAGAGCAAACUUCAAGGUUACUCAACUCGCUGUCAUUCCUGUCGUUAAAACAUAUUUGCAGUGCAUCGAGUUUGAUAACUUUUAUAUGACCAUCAAGAACUUUCACGUAUUAAGGAGUUUAUAUAAAGUUUGUGAUGAAAACUUCUUCUGCAAAUGAUUUGAUAACUUUUUGUAAAGAAAAAUUUUGUUCGCAUUAUCAAAUUUAAGUCUUAAAUUCCAUUGUCAAGAUAGAGACACAAAAAGUCUUUAAGAACAGAUACAAACAAAGAGACAACAGAUGCACUGUACAGGCUGAAAACAACAUGAGGGUUGUUUCAGGAAUAAAAUAACAAGAUGUCUACUGUUAAAGCAAUAUGGUUUGAAAACAACGGCACGUAAAUCGGAUCUAAGACCCAGAGUAGAACAUUUGAUUUGAUUAAAUGCAAAAAAAAAUCUCUUGUAAAAGGAUAGCAUGGACAAGGGGUAGUAGAAGAAUUGGCCAGAAGAAGAAGAAAAAAAAAACAGUGAUGAAGAUCAAGAAAGGCCAAUGGACAAGAUACUUUGGUCUUAAAUAAAUUGACCUACAUUAUCUAGAUGCAUGAGAUGUGCAUCUACCAUGCAAUGGAUGAGAUACUUUGAUCUUGAAUAAAUCAACCUACAUUAUCUAGAUGCAUGAGAUGUGCAUCUACCAUGCAUUAGUUUCCAAGAGCUCACCAACUUGCUUAUAAAAGAAUCUUGGUCAAAGAAGUACUACAGAUAGGCCUAAAAAUUGAAUGGAAAGUGGAUUGACUGAAUGGUGCCAAAAUGAAGUUCACCAUUUAUUCUGACUCAAAAGAAAUCUAAAUCCAAUGUAUUUAAAUCUUCAUGAAAUAUAAAUUCAAUGCAAGAAGUCCUCUAAAGCACCUAAAAAUUAACACAACUUAAACCAAAGCUUAUUUUGACUCGAUUUUGUAACCUAUCUAAACUAACCCUACCUGUUUCAUCCAUCAUUUGCCAAUUUUAUCCUUGAUAUCCCUGAACAAAAGGAGACACCAGCCACUAUGGACUCUGUGAUAGCAAGAAGGCCCAUCUAUGUUUGCCACUAGAUCUAGAUGACAAUUUAUUGCCUGGAUAGACAAUGGUUAGUUUAUCUUUGGAGCUCAGUUUGCAGUUGGAAGCAUAAGUAACAUCGGCAUCCUUGAACACUAGAUCUUGGAAAGAAACAUGAACUAGAACGACCUUGAGGUAUUCCCUUGUUGAGUUCGAAAUAUUUUUGACAACAAUGGUGACGAUAGGCACUAGAUCUAAUCAUACUUUAUUUGUGACUUGCCCAAUCUGAUCUUUGCAGCUAUGGUCAUCUUAUUUAUUUAAAUCUUUCACCAUUUGGACCGUUUCUCAAUUGUAUGGAACAUAACUAACAACACUUCUUGACAUCAAAUCUUACACCCCUAACAUGGUAUUGUUAUGGUCCUUUCUUAUAGUAUCAGUUUCACAUACACCAUUUAAGAUGCUCCCAAACUGCAAGAUGUUAAAAUGAGUAAGUUAUCCACAUUGCCACCUUUUUGUUUUAAAGGAUUAAUUUCUCACCACCAAAACGACUAGCAGCCAUAUUGGCUCCACAGAACCAUUUAGGGGCCAAUUGAAGGUCAGUCACACAAAUCAAUGUUUCCCCUAGUUGAGAUGGGGGCAUUAGGAUUGUUAUGAAAUAUGAACUGGUCUGAAUAACAAAGACAGCAUUCGAGCUGUAUUCACAAAGAAAUAGAACCCCAUGAUAAAAUAUCUAUUAGUGCAACAGCAAUCCAGCUCAUAGCGAUUCGUUUGAACCCUUAUAACAUCAAAGAAAUAUCAAACGAUCCACUUCCAAGUUGUUCAUGAUUAUGCCCAUGUAGAUAAAAAUGGUUCUAAUUUCAACCAACAUUUAGGACUUGGACCAUAGAACUCCAAUGUCCUUCGCAACAAAACAGAACAUAAACAUCAAGAACAACUGAUACCUCGGUAAUCAAGAAUUAGGUAACCGAUGUCAUAAUGCAAGAUGUGGGGUUAACUUAAAAGAAAAAGUUUUUUUUUUUUAUUCUUUUACAGCUCAGAACAUAUCAUAUCGUUAAUUGACUUCGAGGAUUGACUCAAAACUCAGGCUAGGAACGACCGCACAAGAAAGACGAAGAGAAAGAGAGAUCGGGAUUCACCUUUGCGCUCGAGAAGACACUUUCCCUUGUCUUUGACGCGGCUGAUUGAUCUGGGCGGAAGGAAAUUGGCCCUUUUCGUGGAAAAUGUUGGUUUUCGGUGUGGAAGGGCCGGAAGGGAAGAUCACGGGGACCUGGGAACUUGGA
Molecule: long non-coding RNA, 3171 nt
Filed under: Musa acuminata (dwarf banana)
Lineage: Eukaryota; Viridiplantae; Streptophyta; Magnoliopsida; Zingiberales; Musaceae
Description: long non-coding RNA (MACU_LNC002944)
Source: RNAcentral